RNAcentral lists this ribosomal RNA (271 nucleotides) under uncultured bacterium. Its description in RNAcentral is "partial 16S ribosomal RNA". It matches the Rfam family "Bacterial small subunit ribosomal RNA", at positions 78 to 354 of the family's 1533-position model. The record is from RNAcentral.
CUUUUGAUGGCGACCGGCGCACGGGUGAGUAACACGUAUCCAACCUGCCUCAUACUCGGGGAUAGCCUUUCGAAAGAAAGAUUAAUACCCGAUGUCAUAGUCCUACCGCAUGAUGGGAUUAUUAAAGAAUUUCGGUAUGGGAUGGGGAUGCGUCCCAUUAGUUAGUUGGCGGGGUAACGGCCCACCAAGACAACGAUGGAUAGGGGUUCUGAGAGGAAGGUCCCCCACAUUGGAACUGAGACACGGUCCAAACUCCUACGGAAGGCAGCAG